AUACAGAGGGUGCGAGCGUUAAUCGGAAUUACUGGGCGUAAAGCGCGCGUAGGCGGCUUAUUAAGUCAGAUGUGAAAUCCCCGGGCUCAACCUGGGAACUGCAUCUGAUACUGGGUAGCUAGAGUUUAGGAGAGGGAAGUAGAAUUUCAGGUGUAGCGGUGAAAUGCAUAGAGAUCUGAAGGAAUACCAGUGGCGAAGGCGGCUUCCUGGCCUAAAACUGACGCUGAGGUGCGAAAGCGUGGGUAGCAAACGGGAUUAGAAACCCUAGUAGUCC
This 274-nucleotide ribosomal RNA is filed under the name uncultured bacterium. Its description in RNAcentral is "partial 16S ribosomal RNA". It matches the Rfam family "Bacterial small subunit ribosomal RNA", at positions 523 to 796 of the family's 1533-position model. The record is from RNAcentral.